AGUGAACGCUGGCGGUAGGCCUAACACAUGCAAGUCGAACGGCAGCACAGUAAGAGCUUGCUCUUACGGGUGGCGAGUGGCGGACGGGUGAGGAAUACAUCGGAAUCUACUUUUUCGUGGGGGAUAACGGAGGGAAACUUACGCUAAUACAUCAUACGUCCUACGGGUGAAAGCAGGAGAUCAUCGGACCUUGCGCGAUUGAAUUAGCCGAUAUCGGAUUAGCUAGUUGGCGGGGUAAAGGCCCACCAAGGCGACGAUCCGUAGCUGGUCUGAGAGGAUGAUCGGCCACACUGGAACUGAGACACGGUCCAGACUCCUACGGGAGGCAGCAGUGGGGAAUAUUGGACAAUGGGCGAAAGCCUGAUCCAGCAAUACCGCGUGGGUGAAGAAGGUCUUCGGGUUGUAAAGCCCUUUUGUUGGGAAAGAAAAGCAGCAGGUUAAUACCCCGCUGUUCUGACGGUACCCAAAGAAUAAGCACCGGCUAACUUCGUG
This 492-nucleotide ribosomal RNA is filed under the name uncultured bacterium. RNAcentral describes it as "partial 16S ribosomal RNA". It matches the Rfam family "Bacterial small subunit ribosomal RNA", at positions 29 to 507 of the family's 1533-position model. The record is from RNAcentral.